Molecule: ribosomal RNA, 1502 nt
Filed under: Spumella-like flagellate JBL14
Lineage: Eukaryota; Chrysophyceae
Description: bacterial LSU rRNA
Rfam family: Bacterial large subunit ribosomal RNA
Source: RNAcentral
UGGAUCGGAGUGAAAGGCUAAUCAAGCUCGGAGAUAGCUGGUUCUCCUCGAAAGCUAUUUAGGUAGCGCCUCAUGUAUCACUGUAGGGGGUAGAGCACUGUUUCGGCUAGGGGGUCAUCCCGACUUACCAAACCGAUGCAAACUCCGAAUACCUACAAGUGCCGAGCAUGGGAGACACACGGCGGGUGCUAACGUCCGUCGUGAAAAGGGAAACAACCCAGACCGUCAGCUAAGGUCCCAAAGUUAUGGUUAAGUGGGAAACGAUGUGGGAAGGCUUAGACAGCUAGGAGGUUGGCUUAGAAGCAGCCACCCUUUAAAGAAAGCGUAAUAGCUCACUAGUCGAGUCGGCCUGCGCGGAAGAUGUAACGGGGCUCAAACCAUACACCGAAGCUACGGGUAUCACGUAAGUGAUGCGGUAGAGGAGCGUUCUGUAAGCCUGUGAAGGUGAGUUGAGAAGCUUGCUGGAGGUAUCAGAAGUGCGAAUGCUGACAUGAGUAACGACAAUGCGAGUGAAAAACUCGCACGCCGAAAGACCAAGGGUUCCUGCGCAACGUUAAUCGACGCAGGGUUAGUCGGUCCCUAAGGCGAGGCUGAAGAGCGUAGUCGAUGGGAAACAGGUUAAUAUUCCUGUACUUCUAGUUACUGCGAUGGAGGGACGGAGAAGGCUAGGCCAGCUUGGCGUUGGUUGUCCAAGUUUAAGGUGGUAGGCAGAGUGCUUAGGUAAAUCCGGGCGCUUAAUGCCGAGAACUGAUGACGAGUCGUCUUUUAGACGAUGAAGUGGUUGAUGCCAUGCUUCCAGGAAAAGCUUCUAAGCUUCAGGUAACUAGGAACCGUACCCCAAACCGACACAGGUGGUUGGGUAGAGAAUACCAAGGCGCUUGAGAGAACUCGGGUGAAGGAACUAGGCAAAAUGGCACCGUAACUUCGGGAGAAGGUGCGCCGGUGAGGGUGAAGGACUUGCUCCGUAAGCCCAUGCCGGUCGAAGAUACCAGGCCGCUGCGACUGUUUAUUAAAAACACAGCACUCUGCAAACACGAAAGUGGACGUAUAGGGUGUGACGCCUGCCCGGUGCCGGAAGGUUAAGAGGAGAGGUGCAAGCCUUGAAUUGAAGCCCCGGUAAACGGCGGCCGUAACUAUAACGGUCCUAAGGUAGCGAAAUUCCUUGUCGGGUAAGUUCCGACCUGCACGAAUGGCGUAACGAUGGCGGCGCUGUCUCCACCCGAGACUCAGUGAAAUUGAAAUCGCUGUGAAGAUGCAGUGUAUCCGCGGCUAGACGGAAAGACCCCGUGAACCUUUACUAUAGCUUUGCACUGGACUUUGAAUUUGCUUGUGUAGGAUAGGUGGGAGGCUUUGAAGCGUGGACGCCAGUCUGCGUGGAGCCAUCCUUGAAAUACCACCCUGGCAACUUUGAGGUUCUAACUCAGGUCCGUUAUCCGGAUCGAGGACAGUGUAUGGUGGGUAGUUUGACUGGGGCGGUCGCCUCCCAAAGAGUAACGGAGGCG